RNAcentral lists this ribosomal RNA (497 nucleotides) under uncultured bacterium. RNAcentral describes it as "partial 16S ribosomal RNA". It matches the Rfam family "Bacterial small subunit ribosomal RNA", at positions 28 to 507 of the family's 1533-position model. The record is from RNAcentral.
GAUGAACGCUGGCGGCGUGCCUAAUACAUGCAAGUCGAGCGGACGGACGAGAAGUUUGCUUGGAUGAAGUUAGGGGCGGGCGGGUGAGGAAUAGGAGGAUGCCCGACAUAUAGGACUGGGGUAAGUUAGGGGGCGCGGAGAUCACACCGGAUCAUAUUUUGAACCGCGUGGUUCAACGGAGAACGCCGGUCUUGCUGACCCUUAUAGAUGGAUCCAGGCUGGAUUAGCUAGUUGGUACGGUAACGGCUUACCAAGGCAACGAUGCGUAGCUGACCUGAGAGGGUGAUCAGCCACACUGGAACUGAGACACGGUCCAGACUCCUACGGGAGGCAGCAGUGGGGAAUCUUCGGCAAUGGGCGAAAGCCUGACGGAGCAACGCCGCGUGUGUGAAGAAGGUCUUCGGAUCGUAAAACUCUGUUAGUAGGGAAGAACAUCUGUGUAAUUAACUGUGCAUGUCUUGACGGUACCAAAUCAGAAAGCCACGGCUAACUACGUG